GUUGUAUGGUUAAGUGACUAAGCGUACACGGUGGAUGCCUGGGCAGUCAGAGGCGAUGAAGGACGUACUAACUUGCGAUAAGCGCAGAUAAGGCAGUAAGAGCCGUUUGAGUCUGCGAUUUCCGAAUGGGGAAACCCAACUGCAUAAGCAGUUACUGUUAACUGAAUACAUAGGUUAACAGAGCAAACCGGGGGAACUGAAACAUCUAAGUACCCCGAGGAGAAGAAAUCAACCGAGAUUCCGGUAGUAGCGGCGAGCGAACCUGGAUUAGCCCUUAAGCACUCGGUGAAGUAGGUGAACAAGCUGGAAAGCUUGGCGAUACAGGGUGAUAGCCCCGUAACCGACGCUUCAUCGAGCGUGAAAUCGAGUAGGGCGGGACACGUGAUAUCCUGUCUGAAUAUGGGGGGACCAUCCUCCAAGGCUAAAUACUCCUGACUGACCGAUAGUGAACCAGUACCGUGAGGGAAAGGCGAAAAGAACCCCUGUGAGGGGAGUGAAAUAGAACCUGAAACCGUGUACGUACAAGCAGUAGGAGCACCUUCGUGGUGUGACUGCGUACCUUUUGUAUAAUGGGUCAGCGACUUAUAUUCAGUGGCAAGGUUAACCGUAUAGGGGAGCCGUAGCGAAAGCGAGUCUUAACUGGGCGCUCAGUCUCUGGAUAUAGACCCGAAACCGGGUGAUCUAGCCAUGGGCAGGUUGAAGGUUGAGUAACAUCAACUGGAGGACCGAACCGACUAAUGUUGAAAAAUUAGCGGAUGACUUGUGGCUAGGGGUGAAAGGCCAAUCAAACUCGGAGAUAGCUGGUUCUCCCCGAAAGCUAUUUAGGUAGCGCCUCGGACGAAUACUACUGGGGGUAGAGCACUGUUAAGGCUAGGGGGUCAUCCCGACUUACCAACCCUUUGCAAACUCCGAAUACCAGUAAGUACUAUCCGGGAGACACACGGCGGGUGCUAACGUCCGUCGUGGAGAGGGAAACAACCCAGACCGCCAGCUAAGGUCCCAAAGUAUUGCUAAGUGGGAAACGAUGUGGGAAGGCUCAGACAGCUAGGAUGUUGGCUUAGAAGCAGCCAUCAUU
This 1075-nucleotide ribosomal RNA is filed under the name Vibrio cholerae. Its description in RNAcentral is "partial 23S ribosomal RNA". It matches the Rfam family "Bacterial large subunit ribosomal RNA", at positions 1 to 1123 of the family's 2925-position model. Lineage: Bacteria; Pseudomonadati; Pseudomonadota; Gammaproteobacteria; Vibrionales; Vibrionaceae. RNAcentral also lists the same sequence under 2 other names. The record is from RNAcentral.